Molecule: ribosomal RNA, 864 nt
Filed under: uncultured Gammaproteobacteria bacterium
Lineage: Bacteria; Pseudomonadati; Pseudomonadota; Gammaproteobacteria
Description: bacterial SSU rRNA
Rfam family: Bacterial small subunit ribosomal RNA
Source: RNAcentral
AGGGUUUGAUCAUGGCUCAGAUUGAACGCUGGCGGCAGGCCUAACACAUGCAAGUCGAGCGGUAGAGAGAAGCUUGCUUCUCUUGAGAGCGGCGGACGGGUGAGUAAUGCCUAGGAAUCUGCCUGGUAGUGGGGGAUAACGCUCGGAAACGGACGCUAAUACCGCAUACGUCCUACGGGAGAAAGCAGGGGACCUUCGGGCCUUGCGCUAUCAGAUGAGCCUAGGUCGGAUUAGCUAGUUGGUGAGGUAAUGGCUCACCAAGGCGACGAUCCGUAACUGGUCUGAGAGGAUGAUCAGUCACACUGGAACUGAGACACGGUCCAGACUCCUACGGGAGGCAGCAGUGGGGAAUAUUGGACAAUGGGCGAAAGCCUGAUCCAGCCAUGCCGCGUGUGUGAAGAAGGUCUUCGGAUUGUAAAGCACUUUAAGUUGGGAGGAAGGGCAUUAACCUAAUACGUUGGUGUCUUGACGUUACCGACAGAAUAAGCACCGGCUAACUCUGUGCCAGCAGCCGCGGUAAUACAGAGGGUGCAAGCGUUAAUCGGAAUUACUGGGCGUAAAGCGCGCGUAGGUGGUUCGUUAAGUUGGAUGUGAAAUCCCCGGGCUCAACCUGGGAACUGCAUUCAAAACUGACGAGCUAGAGUAUGGUAGAGGGUGGUGGAAUUUCCUGUGUAGCGGUGAAAUGCGUAGAUAUAGGAAGGAACACCAGUGGCGAAGGCGACCACCUGGACUGAUACUGACACUGAGGUGCGAAAGCGUGGGGAGCAAACAGGAUUAGAUACCCUGGUAGUCCACGCCGUAAACGAUGUCAACUAGCCGUUGGGAGCCUUGAGCUCUUAGUGGCGCAGCUAACGCAUUAAGUUG